Molecule: non-coding RNA, 659 nt
Organism: Cinara cedri
Lineage: Eukaryota; Metazoa; Arthropoda; Insecta; Hemiptera; Aphididae
Source: the annotation of a GenBank genome assembly
CCAUAAGUUCAACUCGUGUUAAACCUCUUAUCAAAUUUUUAAAAAUUUCUGUUAAGACUAAUAAUUUAUCUACUGAGUACCUACCAAAUAAAAAUUAGGAAAAAAACUAACAGAAUUUAAAUGUUUAUAAAUAGCUUAAAAAUUACUCUAAUGUUCUGAAAGUUUUACUAAGUCUUGAAAAAUUAAAAUAAGUUUUCUAUCGACAUUUUAAGUCGCUACAAAUAUUUUAACCUAAAUUACAUUAAAAAAACAUUUUUUAAAUUUUAAAAAUAAUUCCCGUACAUUUUCCCGUUCUCGUAUGUAUUUUUCGGUUUUGCACAAUUAUUAAAAAACUACAAAGAAAAUUAAAAAACAACUUGUUUAGUCACCAAUUAGAUCAAAAAGUCAACAAAAUAGAUCACUUGAUGUUUUUCUAUUAGAGCAAUAUUUCUAGUAGAAAAUGGAAAUUGUCACGCCGUAAAAUAUUAUUACAUAGCUACUUUCAAAAUCCAAAUUUUCCAAUACCUUUAUUUAUUUGAAUCACGAAGAUCAAACAACAAAGUUCGUAAAGUUCACCAUCCAGUAGGACAACACUGGUUUCGUGAGUUCGUGCCAUGUAUCAUCUAAUGAUAACAGACUAACAAAGAUGCACGCCAAAUGGUGUUUAUGCGAUUUAUUCU